AUAAAGCGGGUUGCAAGGUACC
This 22-nucleotide non-coding RNA is filed under the name Arabidopsis thaliana (thale cress). Lineage: Eukaryota; Viridiplantae; Streptophyta; Magnoliopsida; Brassicales; Brassicaceae. The record is from RNAcentral.